CCUACGGGAGGCAGCAGUGAGGAAUAUUGGUCAAUGGGCUUACGCCUGAACCAGCCAAGUCGCGUGAGGGAAGACUGCCCUAUGGGUUGUAAACCUCUUUUGUCAGGGAGCAACGUCGGCUACGCGUAGCCGGACUGAGAGUACCUGAAGAAAAAGCAUCGGCUAACUCCGUGCCAGCAGCCGCGGUAAUCAGGAGGAUGCGAGGGUUAUCCGGAUUUAUUGGGUUAAAAGGGUGCGUAGGCGGAAUGCCAAGUCAGCGGUAAAAUCGCGGGGCUCAACCUCGCUCCGCCGUUGAAACUGGCGUUCUUGAGAGGGCGAGAAGUAUGCGGAAUGCGUGGUGUAGCGGUGAAAUGCAUAGAUAUCACACAGAACUCCGAUUGCGAAGGCAGCAUACCGGCGCCCAACUGACGCUGAAGCACGAAAGCGUGGGUAGCGAACAGGAUUAGAUACCCGGGUAGUC
This 460-nucleotide ribosomal RNA is filed under the name uncultured bacterium. RNAcentral describes it as "partial 16S ribosomal RNA". It matches the Rfam family "Bacterial small subunit ribosomal RNA", at positions 338 to 795 of the family's 1533-position model. The record is from RNAcentral.